ACUUAAGGGGUACAACCAGCCCCCAAAUUCGGGUUGCAUUAUAGGCACCUUUACUCUGAUCUUGCACCAUGGGUAUUGCAGAGGAAUCUGGGAGCUCAACCACUGAGAAUCUGAUUGUGACAAAGAAGAGGGAAGGAACUAGCAACAACCAGCACAUGGAUAUUGGCAUAUUGAGUUCACACCUGCAGUGUCCAAGUAACAGUCCCAACUGGGAGAUUGUUCAUCUGCAGAACUAAGAUGGGGACACACCCUGACUAGGGAGCUUGUCUGGUUGUAGAUAUGCCUGAUUUGGAUCCUCAAGUGAAGAGCUUUGUUGGCUCUAGGCCCCUGUUUUUCCACCUCCAGCCAAGGAGCUGAAUCACAGCCCAACCCACUAUACAAAGUUUUCUAACCCUAUCUGAUCAGAAGAGCUGGUGGUAACUCCUGGAAGCAGUGCAGCCCAGCAACACUUGAGCUGAGAGGAGGACAGAUGGAAUUGAUUGCCCACAGAGCAUAACUAGUACCAGGUUGACAGUAGGAUUACAGCUUCACUCCAAGAAUUUUCUUCUUACCAAGCCUGAGCAAAGAGCACCACUCCUAGACUACUUGUGCUUCUGUGUGCACGCUUCUCCAAAAAUCAAGUGACUUCACUGGUAGUUAAACUGAGAAAGACUGAGUAGAUGUGGCUGUCCCAACGCUACCUGCUUUCUUCCUCUUGCUGGCUGAGAUCCCAGGUAGAAGCUCUCAACAUGGAUAUUGAAUAGAAUAUGCCAUAAACUCUAAGCAAUCCUUCGAGGAAGACUGAAAGGGCAGAGGUAAACACCUGCUUUGUGAGGUCCACCCUGCUCUCCAUCCAGCUGUAAAGUCAGAGAAAGACUUCAACUGCAGUACUUUCUUAGUGUGAAAAAAAAAAUCUUUCUGAAAGUUUUAGUGUCUAUAAAUAAUUAUGUACUUUUCUGAAUCAAACUUUUCUGUAGUUUUUGCCACCUUGACGCAAACCUUAAAAAACCAAUCUUUUAAAACUAAAUUUAAUUGCUAGAUUCUAAUUCUGAAAAUAAGUCUCAAAAUAAACUUCAGAAGCUGUGAAAAAUGG
Molecule: long non-coding RNA, 1072 nt
Organism: Canis lupus familiaris (dog)
Lineage: Eukaryota; Metazoa; Chordata; Mammalia; Carnivora; Canidae
Exons: 4
Source: RefSeq, a predicted model, not a curated record